This 449-nucleotide ribosomal RNA is filed under the name uncultured bacterium. RNAcentral's name for it is "partial 16S ribosomal RNA". It matches the Rfam family "Bacterial small subunit ribosomal RNA", at positions 29 to 523 of the family's 1533-position model. The record is from RNAcentral.
AAUGAACGCUGGCGGCAGGCCUAACACAUGCAAGUCGAACGGAUCCUUCGGGAUUAGUGGCGGACGGGUGAGUAACGCGUGGGAACAUACCCAAAGGUACGGAAUAGCCUCGGGAAACUGGGAGUAAUACCGUAUGUGCUCGAAAGAGGAAAGAUUUAUCGCCUUUGGAUUGGCCCGCGUUGGAUUAGGUAGUUGGUGGGGUAAUGGCCUACCAAGCCGACGAUCCAUAGCCGGUUGGAGAGGAUGAUCAGCCACACUGGGACUGAGACACGGCCCAGACUCCUACGGGAGGCAGCAGUGGGGAAUCUUAGACAAUGGGGGAAACCCUGAUCUAGCCAUGCCGCGUGAUCGAUGAAGGCCUUAGGGUUGUAAAGAUCUUUCAGGUGGGAAGAUAAUGACGGUACCACCAGAAGAAGCCCCGGCUAACUCCGUGCCAGCCGCCGCCGUAA